UAUGUGUUUUUCUAAUGUUUUUUUUUUUUUUUCUUUUUCUUUUUUUUUCUUUUUUUUCUUCCAACAUUUUUUUGACAUGCCCGCCUCUUGUUUCUGUUGAAGUUAUAAAGACCAAAUAUGGACCAUCGCUAGACCUCACCAAGAUGUAUUACCAAAUGACCCUGUUAAGGAUUUCAUCAUCCCCUUUAGGAGUUAUCUCCCUUUUUUUAUUGAUUUUUUUCAACAUGGCCCCCCUCGUUGGUUUUAAAGAUAUCAUGACCUUAAUUGGACAUAAUGUAGAUCUCAUCAUGAUGUAUUACCAUGUGAGGCUGAAUAGGAUUUCAUCGUCCCCUAUGAGAGUUAUAUCCCCUUGAAACAAUUUCUUUCCUUUGCAUUUUUCUCAAAAAGUAUAAGAGAUAGAAUCGAUUUGAAAACGGCAACAUGUACAAGAACAGAUGGCAAUGUUAAUGAACAUGUACAAUCAUUUUGUUAUUAACCCUUAUAAGGAGUUAUUCCCCUUGAAAAAUUGUGCAUAAUUUUAGAAAAAAUUGUAUUUCGAGAACCAGAAGUCGUAGAGACUUGGGACCUUCACCAAUAAUCUUUAAUUCAUGUGACCUUUAAUAUGCAGUCAAGGUCAAAGGUCACUGAGUGCAAAAAAAAAUUACGCUGCAAUUUCAAGCUUACAUAUUAGGAAAACGAUAAGACUUUGCUGCAUACAUUUACAGCGUAUAAAAUGUUCCUCUCGACGAGCUCUACAUUUUAUAUGAUAAGUCCAAAAAUGUCCGACUGUCUGUUCAAAAGUUACAACGGGAUGAUUCUUAAAAGUAUAGUAUUUUGUGUAUAUCUUUUUAAAGGUAACAGAUAUCAACCUACUAUAAACUGCAAAGAUGAUCAGUAAUUCAAGACCGUCAAUUUGAGGUCAAUGUCAGGUCAUGAUGAAAUUUCACCUUGACCUUCACAGUAUACUAUGACCUUGACCUUGUGAUAUUUGAAAGGUCAAGUGGUCCUGAGUUGAAUGGUGGUAGUCCCAUGUCUCUACGACUUCCGGUUCUCAAGUUUGGUAUUGCAUCAUAUAUUUGAUGAUUAAUUGUGACCUUGGUGAACUUUGAAAUUG
RNAcentral lists this long non-coding RNA (1093 nucleotides) under Mytilus galloprovincialis (Mediterranean mussel). The record is from RNAcentral. Lineage: Eukaryota; Metazoa; Mollusca; Bivalvia; Mytilida; Mytilidae.